RNAcentral lists this ribosomal RNA (104 nucleotides) under Shigella boydii. RNAcentral describes it as "partial 16S ribosomal RNA". It matches the Rfam family "Bacterial small subunit ribosomal RNA", at positions 1 to 102 of the family's 1533-position model. The record is from RNAcentral. Lineage: Bacteria; Pseudomonadati; Pseudomonadota; Gammaproteobacteria; Enterobacterales; Enterobacteriaceae.
UUAAAUUGAAGAGUUUGAUCAUGGCUCAGAUUGAACGCUGGCGGCAGGCCUAACACAUGCAAGUCGAACGGUAACAGGAAUCAGCUUGCUGAUUCGCUGACGAG